UUCGUCAUAUAAAUAUAUAUAUAUAUAUAUAUAUAUAUAUGCAUAAAUCCAGUUUGGUCAUUUUUUUUUUAAUUUAUUAAUUUACCUAUACGCUCUAUUUAUGAAUCCGUUCACUCCUUUUUAAUUAUUCGCUCGUUUGUUCAUUUUUUUAUUUUAUUUUUUUCAGUUAGCAAAACAGCAGCUAAAAAUAAAGCAAAUGUUCAAGAGAAAGAGAAAGAGACAGCAAUUUCUAAGGCGCAAGAAGUUAAGCCUGAAUUGAGUAAUAUAUCCAUUGGUGAUGACAUAUCGAAAGAUUUUAUAGGUAUAUAUAUAUGUGUAUGUAUGUAUGUAUGUAUGUAUGUAUGUAUGUAUGUGUGUAUAUGUACAUAUGUAUAUAUUUCGCCCGUUUCGUUUGUUCAUAUUUUAAAUCAGAAUCGGAUAAACAAAUCAUAAGCAACAUAACAGCUAGUAUAUGUGAUGAAAAAAGGAAGUUUAACAAUCAUUUAAUUAUUAACACACUCGAUUUGUCACUAGUCGUGUAUAAUAAAAUUGUUCGUCAUUUUUUACUUGGAAGCUUAAAAAGUAGUCAGACAUGUUUUGAUAAUACAAAUUUAAGGAGGACUGAUGAGCCUCAUGAUUUUUUCGGAGGUAACAAGAAAAAAAGGAAAAUAAAAAUAAGUAAAUGUUUAAAUAAAUUUGCGAUUAAUAAAAAAAUAUAUAAUGCAUAUUGUACGAAGAAUGCAUAUUUUUUACUUAUCCUAUGUUUAUAUAUUUAUUUAUUUAUUUAUCUAUUUAUAUACUCGUUUGCUCAUUUAUUCACCUGUUUGUUUAUAUUUUUUUAGUUAAUAUUAGCAAACAUGUGACUAGCUUUGAUGAUUUAAAAAAAAAUUAUGUAUAAUUUGAAGCGGAUAUUAUACAAACUUGUGCAUAUGUAUGGAUGUAAUAACACAAAAGUAAAAGAAUAAAAGAUGCGAGUAUAAAUAUAAGUAACGUAUU
This 975-nucleotide long non-coding RNA is filed under the name Piliocolobus tephrosceles (Ugandan red Colobus). Its description in RNAcentral is "lncRNA (ENSPTEG00000001679.1)". The record is from RNAcentral. Lineage: Eukaryota; Metazoa; Chordata; Mammalia; Primates; Cercopithecidae.